UAGGGAAUCUUCGGCAAUGGGGGGAACCCUGACCGAGCAACGCCGCGUGAGUGAAGAAGGUUUUCGGAUCGUAAAGCUCUGUUGUUAAGGAAGAACGAGUGUGAGAAUGGAAAGUUCAUAUUGUGACGGUACUUAACCAGAAAGGGACGGCUAACUACGUGCCAGCAGCCGCGGUAAUACGUAGGUCCCGAGCGUCGUCCGGAUUUAUUGGGCGUAAAGCGAGCGCAGGCGGUUAGAUAAGUCUGAAGUUAAAGGCAGUGGCUCAACCAUUGUAUGCUUUGGAAACUGUUUAACUUGAGUGCAGAAGUAGAGAGUGGAAUUCCAUGUGUAGCGGUGAAAUGCGUAGAUAUAUGGAGGAACACCGGUGGCGAAAGCGGCUCUCUGGUCUGUAACUGACGCGGAGGCUCGAAAGCGUGGGGAGCGAACAGG
Molecule: ribosomal RNA, 429 nt
Filed under: Bacteroidota bacterium
Lineage: Bacteria; Pseudomonadati; Bacteroidota
Description: Bacteroidetes bacterium partial 16S ribosomal RNA
Rfam family: Bacterial small subunit ribosomal RNA
Source: RNAcentral